CAAGUCACAUUUACUUAAAAUGUCCAGGUAAAUUUUUGAUUAGUUACUAUAAUGUUUUCCUCAUUUUUCCCAGCAUGAUGGGUAAUGGUCCAUACUAAAUAAACUUGAUAAAUUGCCUUAGAUAUAUACAUUUUUACCCCAUUAUCCUCCCCACCAACUCUUCUAUAUCAUAGCAGAUUGUACCAGAGAUAACACCUUCUUGGGGAGUUACUACAUGGUUUGACCAAUGACUUAAUGCAAGUUUCCUCAGAUUUCCUUUCUGGAAUUCUGAAUAGGGAAUUG
RNAcentral lists this long non-coding RNA (282 nucleotides) under Bos taurus (domestic cattle). RNAcentral's name for it is "long non-coding RNA NONBTAT004893". The record is from RNAcentral. Lineage: Eukaryota; Metazoa; Chordata; Mammalia; Artiodactyla; Bovidae.